This is a long non-coding RNA of Haliotis rufescens (red abalone), 2083 nucleotides long. RefSeq lists it as uncharacterized. The transcript is spliced from 5 exons. The record is from RefSeq and is a predicted model, not a curated record. Lineage: Eukaryota; Metazoa; Mollusca; Gastropoda; Lepetellida; Haliotidae.
GGCCUGUAUAUGUUUUAUAUAAUCUCCGAAGUUGUAUCUGGGAUAAGCAAUUCGUUCAUUUCUUAUGUACGAUCCAUUUUUUACUGAGUCAUAUUGCGACAUGAUCUUUGUUACUUACAAAAUGUAGAUGGCAGAAGAUAUUGCAUGGAUAAUGAUGAGAGUAACAUCUGUCUUCUUAUAUGUUGCAGGUAUCGGCUUGGCUAUGGUUAUCACCAGUGCAAUGUGUGUCCAUCUACUACAAUGUCGUCGUCAUGCACACCAUCUACUACAUGUUUGUCAGCUACGUCAAUCUUGACGACACGGUACCCUGGGGGUCGUGUGGCAAUCCUUGGAAUACCGACUCCUGAUCCAGGACGACAUCACAAAGAGCUGCCUGAUCAAGUUCACUACAGCCAUGUAAGAGUACUGGAAGUCAGUUUCAGAUUCUGCUUUUGAGGGAAGCAAUUGAAGAUUUCGGAGGGUUCAGUCCCAAGAAAACCAUGUAACCCUUUCCUGGCUCCACGUCAUCUUCUGUCUGAAGAAGGGAAUCAAGACAUCAGGCAAGGUCGUGUAUUUCACCGCUACCUUCCCCUACGUCAUUCCUGUGGUGCUGCUGAUCCGGGGCCUGACGCUGCCAGGGCAAGAGCAUCGCAUUUUGCAUGACCCAACAGGUCACUAGGUUGACAGAGGCCAAGGUAUGGGGAGAUGCCGCCACUCAGACAUUUUAGUCAUUGGGAGCUGGAUUUGGCAGUGUGUGGACCAUGUAAAGUUACAAGUUAUGAGCAACUGUCAGCAUUCCUCCAAAAGUGUCAGCCACUUAGUGCUCCCCGGCCUACUACGGAGACUACACGUUCCCAUCGUGGACUGAGGGGAUUGGCUGGUGCAUGGUUGUUACCCUGUUGCUAUCAUUAUCCUGGAUAUGGUGGUCUACACGCUCGGACUCCAAAGUUCGAAAUACAUCAUUUCCAACUGUGUUUUCCAGAGUACUGCAAACAUGUCUACAUAGGCACGAUGAAGUUUUAUUCUAUUGUUCAUGAAGUCCAUGCACAUGUGUAGAAGCGUUUGAAGACUAACGAGAUAUUAUAUGAAAUAUUUUAUACCAUAAAACGCCGACAUUCCACAAUCAUGGUGCAGGACUAACGCUUUCUUGCCGAAGUGAUGAUUCCUACAAAGCAGCAUUGCUGGCGCAUUGGGAUCAUUGUCUAAUCAGAUUAAAGUGUUCGCCCCCACAGCUGGGGACUUGCUAACCAGGCAAAUCGGACCUCAUCACUCCUGAGGCUCCUGGUAGCAGGGGCCACGCUAUGGACAAGACUAGUGCGUGCACUGAGAAGGGGAGCCCAGCAUCCAGUGUCAUAGGUGACAACUCUGGAUACUACAUGUACAGCAACAGACUAUAAGCUACGACCAGAGCUGUUAUAUUAGUAAUACUUAUUCUUACAAAUUAUGAGUUCUGGUCAAUUAUAUACAGACAUGGUUCUGCAGUCAUAAUCCGAUAAUCUAUUCCACUAUUUAAGUGUGUCACGGGCGGUUGAUGUUUAACACUGUAGUAAAAACCACCACCAAGGGUAUGGUGCUUAUGAACCAAUGAUUACAAUCAGGCUAGCAUGGGUUUCGAAAUCACUAUCAAAGGAUCCUGGCCUGCAUUUGGGACACAUCGCAACAAUUUAACCGCCUUGGACGGCUUGACUAUCCGUGCCCCAAAUGACUGUGCCCUUGGACAUGUAAGCUUGACUGUAUCCAGACGGCUGCACCACCAUAGUAUCUGGGCCAAUAGAAAUUUUCCCGGGGUUAAUUUUCACGCGUCACCAUAGACGUGAAAGACUCAAGUGGACGCGCAAAGAUGGCAGAACCGAAACUGGCAGUCUGAGAGAAUCACGUUUUCUGAUUAGAGCAGGUUCCAGCUCUUCAGAGCAGAUGGUUGUUUAUGUACGUGUGUGUCGUCAACUAGACGACUUCACGGCUGUUCCAUCUGGAGGUGGCAGCGUAAUUAUCUCAUCCAAGUUCUUUACUGUAUCCCAAUUGCGUGGAUCGAUGCUCAUGAUGUCAAGCACUGGAUUAUCUGGUCCAGACUUGAUUAUUUACAGACCGCCACCAUAUCGCUCGA